GACGAACGCUGGCGGCGUGCUUAACACAUGCAAGUCGAGCGGUAAGGCCCUUUCGGGGGUACGACGAGCGGCGAACGGGUGAGUAACACGUGGGUGACCUGCCCUCAGCUCUGGGAUAAGCCUGGGAAACCGGGGUCUAAUACCGGAUAUGACUCCAUGACGCAUGUUGUGGGGUGGAAAGCCUUGUGCGGCUGAGGAUGGGCCCGCGGCCUAUCAGCUUGUUGGUGGGGUGAUGGCCUACCAAGGCGACGACGGGUAGCCGGCCUGAGAGGGCGACCGGCCACACUGGGACUGAGACACGGCCCAGACUCCUACGGGAGGCAGCAGUGGGGAAUCUUGCGCAAUGGGCGAAAGCCUGACGCAGCGACGCCGCGUGAGGGAUGACGGCCUGUGU
This 394-nucleotide ribosomal RNA is filed under the name uncultured bacterium. RNAcentral describes it as "bacterial SSU rRNA". It matches the Rfam family "Bacterial small subunit ribosomal RNA", at positions 28 to 421 of the family's 1533-position model. The record is from RNAcentral.